This 254-nucleotide ribosomal RNA is filed under the name uncultured bacterium. Its description in RNAcentral is "partial 16S ribosomal RNA". It matches the Rfam family "Bacterial small subunit ribosomal RNA", at positions 524 to 776 of the family's 1533-position model. The record is from RNAcentral.
UACGGGGGAUGCAAGCGUUAUCCGGAUUUAUUGGGUUUAAAGGGUGCGUAGGCUGUGAGGUAAGUCAGCGGUGAAAUGCCCCCGCUCAACGGGGUGAAGUGCCAUUGAUACUGCCUUGCUGGAAUGCGGAUGCCGUGGGAGGAAUGUGUGGUGUAGCGGUGAAAUGCAUAGAUAUCACACAGAACACCGAUUGCGGAGGCAUCUCACGAAUCCGCUAUUGACGCUGAUGCACGAAAGCGUGGGUAUCAAACAGG